RNAcentral lists this ribosomal RNA (303 nucleotides) under uncultured bacterium. RNAcentral describes it as "partial 16S ribosomal RNA". It matches the Rfam family "Bacterial small subunit ribosomal RNA", at positions 507 to 809 of the family's 1533-position model. The record is from RNAcentral.
AGCAGUAGCCACGGUAAUACGUAGGGUGCAAGCGUUAAUCGGAAUUACUGGGCGUAAAGCGUGCGCAGGCGGUUAUAUAAGACAGAUGUGAAAUCCCCGGGCUCAACCUGGGAACUGCAUUUGUGACUGUAUAGCUAGAGUACGGCAGAGGGGGAUGGAAUUCCGCGUGUAGCAGUGAAAUGCGUAGAUAUGCGGAGGAACACCGAUGGCGAAGGCAAUCCCCUGGGCCUGUACUGACGCUCAUGCACGAAAGCGUGGGGAGCAAACAGGAUUAGAUACCCCUGUAGUCCCUGUCUCUUAUAU